RNAcentral lists this long non-coding RNA (1774 nucleotides) under Anas platyrhynchos platyrhynchos (common mallard). RNAcentral's name for it is "lncRNA (ENSAPLG00000019611.1)". Lineage: Eukaryota; Metazoa; Chordata; Aves; Anseriformes; Anatidae. The record is from RNAcentral.
GUGCAUGCUGUAAUUGCCAGAGGAGCGGUGGGAGCUCUCACAGGUAGAUGAAGCAAACGCUGAGGUGCUGCAGCUGUGAGCAGGAGGAAAAUUAAGCUGUGAACUGGAAUUCCAUCAGGCUGUCUACUGUGAAGCCCUGUGGCUUUAGCAAAGGGGCAGCAGUGGUCAGAAAUGACACCCAAAAGAAAAUGACAUGGAAUUCACAGUGGACUUCCUACUCCUGUGAAAGAAAGGGAGAAGAUGCUUUUGCUUCAUGCAAUCUUCACAUCUAAAGAGGUUGCUGCUGUUAAGCACUUCCGCAACUUAGACACACAAAGAAAUGGGAACCCUUUGCAGCCAGUAGUGGAACAUGAGCGUGGACCCUUCAGGCUUUGUCUGAUUUCUUCCUGUUUCUCUGACAUGUUGCUAAAUCAUGGCAAUGGAAGAGCUCAUCUCCAGGCUGCCAAACCCAUGCUGCCUUCCAGGUUUAAAAUCUUAAUCCCUGAAUAACGCCGCCGCCUGCCUCCCGGCUUUCUUUGGAGACCUUCCAGCUCUGGCCAGCCCUGACCCUAUUUGACUGAAGGUAUGUGGGGCUCAAAACUGGGGCAAAUACGGCUUCUGGCCAUUAUUACAAUGAAUGAAAAGUAUGUAAUUGAUAAUUUCAUUUAAGACCCGGCGCGAUAAGAGUUUGUGAUCAAAUGCUGGUUUCAUUUGCAGCAGUGUGCUUCCAUUGUGACUUCAGAAAAAAUCAAUGGGUGUAAGGCAAGAUGAGUCAUAAUGCACGCACUGUACCAAAGGGGAGUAGAAAUUUCUCCAUAAAUAACAUCUCUUUUAGCAAAAUGCAGAACCAAAACCCUGAAAAUCUAUACUGUAUUGAACUGCACAGUUCAGGAAAGAGGCUGUAUAUAUAACAGCACGUUUCUGAAUGUGUAGGUUGCUCCUUGUGGACGAAACCUUCCUUUGAGACAGUUGGUUGCUCAUUUUCGCAAAAUAUCUGUUAAGUAAUUUCCAUGAUCGGGACAUGGGAUUAAAAGAUCUGUGGGGGCUUUUUUGAAACUCCUGUGUUUGGAAGGCACCUCGCACCCUACAAGCAGUGGCAGAAAAGCCAGGGAGAUGCCUCUAGGUGGGCUACUGGGAGCACGGAGAUGUUUUCACAUGCUUGGGAAAAGACAAGAAGGCCAUUUUGUCAUUUGGUGGUUGGCUUCUUGCUGCUUAUUAAAUAGGCUGCCAAACUUGUGGCUAACGAGUGAUUUUAAUGUAGUUUGAAGGCAGCUUUUGUUUCCUUCAACUGCUAUUUUAAGAAAGAUCCCAUAAAAUUAAUUGACUGAUGAACUGUAUAAUUGAUGCUGUCUACACAGUGUGCACCAGCCAAAACUGAUGGGUAGCAGGAGCGCUGGCAUCUUGGUAGGGGCUGCGCUAACCCCUUCGGAGAACCUCUGCCUGCCCUCCCUUUAUGCUCCUGGGUAGGAGAGGGCAUGUUUAGUUUUCUGCUUACUCUAUUCCCUUUUGUACUUGCUCAUUUGCUAGGUGCAUAAAGGAGAGGAGGUCACUUGUGCACAUGGGAUAAAGAGGUAUUAUGAAUUCUAAAGUGUUUGCUUUAUUGGGAAAAGCACACUGAGCAGGAAGGCGCGGGAACAUAAUGUGUGAAUUUUUAAUGAAUGCUGUGCCAAGUGUUUGUGCAUUUUUUUUCCUACCUGUAGCAGCUUUAUUCAUUUGGGAGAGUACUGCCUACAAGAUAUUCCUUAGUAGUAUGCUGGCUGCUGUUUAGUUUUAAUAAAUUAAAUCCUUUAUAUCA